UGGGGAAUUUUGGACAAUGGGCGAAAGCCUGAUCCAGCAAUGCCGCGUGUGUGAAGAAGGCCUUCGGGUUGUAAAGCACUUUUGUCCGGAAAGAAAUCCUUGGCUCUAAUAAGUCGGGGGGAUGACGGUACCGGAAGAAUAAGCACCGGCUAACUACGUGCCAGCAGCCGCGGUAAUACGUAGGGUGCAAGCGUUAAUCGGAAUUACUGGGCGUAAAGCGUGCGCAGGCGGUUUGCUAAGACCGAUGUGAAAUCCCCGGGCUCAACCGGGAACUGCAUGGUGACUGGCAGGCUAGAGUAUGGCAGAGGGGGGUAGAAUUCCACGUGUNGCAGUGAAAUGCGUAGAGAUGUGGAGGAAUACCGAUGGCGAAGGCANCCCCCUGGGCCAAUACUGACGCUCAUGCACGAAAGCGU
Molecule: ribosomal RNA, 413 nt
Filed under: uncultured bacterium
Lineage: Bacteria
Description: partial 16S ribosomal RNA
Rfam family: Bacterial small subunit ribosomal RNA
Source: RNAcentral